Molecule: long non-coding RNA, 532 nt
Filed under: Phascolarctos cinereus (koala)
Lineage: Eukaryota; Metazoa; Chordata; Mammalia; Diprotodontia; Phascolarctidae
Description: lncRNA (ENSPCIG00000000284.2)
Source: RNAcentral
GUCAAGAUGAAAAACUUCAUCUAAUGGAAUCCAGCUUGAAAGCAACUCAAGAGCAGCUAACUGAGCAAAGAGCAGCAAUAGUUCGUCAAGAACAGAACAGCACAAAAUCACAGGCAGAGCUGAAGACAGUGAGAGAACGUAUUAUUGCUUCUGCAGAAGAAAUUAAUGAUUACAAAUCAUUGGAAGAAAAGCAAGGUCAUCAAAGAAAAUACCUACAUUUAGAACAUGGGAAACUGGAAAAAUUGUACUGUUACUUGAAGAAAUAAUUAAGUAAGAAUGAACACCAAGUUUUGGAGUAAAGACAGCAAGUAAAUUUGUAUAUGUUGGUUUUUAGUUGCUGAUGGGUCAUCUUGGCAGGGAUAACCUUGACACAGAGCAACUUCAGUAAAAUCUUGAGGUUACCUAUAUUGUUAGGCUAAGACUGGUAAAUAUCCUUAAUUUUAUGUAUGACUUGGUUAUAUCAUAUAUAAUUUGUAUUAGUCAUUUUAAAGAUCUUUUCUCAUUUUUAGCUUAUAAUACUUGUUCAUUUUAG